AACAGCUGCUGUGCCUCGGCGUGCGCAGUCCAUCUGGACUAACACCUUCAGCAGUUCUCCUCUCUGCCUGGCAGACUGGCCCAGCGGUGUGACAAGCCUCUUAGUUCACCACGGAGCCGUGGGGAAGUUGAGUCACGGAGAGAUGAUGUCCUGGAGGUCACCUGUUAAGCAGGGUGGAAAAGGUCCAGUCUGCUGGGAGGUCUUUGCAAGUCUCUUGUUCUCUCCAGAACCUCCUAACAAUCUACAGAACCUCAUUUGGAUCUAAAAUAAAACUGUCCAGAAAGCCAGAACAGUCAGGCCUUCGGAAACUGUGCUCUGCUGAAUGGUCCAUGUCCCCAGACACGUGUAUCUCUCACAGGUGUUUUCGUUAGAGCAGAACAAGGUGUCCUCUUGCUUCCAAAAAUCUGAGAAUUUGGUACCAAGAAGCUCAUCGUGACUAUGAGAUCGCAAUUGGUCCUCCAGCAUAAUCGAUGUGGGUUCAAAGACAGGGGCUGCAGUGAAAGUGGAACAGAAGAGAAUUUAGAGCCGUGGCUGGCAUGACUUUGGGAGCGCUUUCUCACACGUGUUACAACUCAGAGAGCUGCGUGAUUGAACCAAGGGCUCCUUCCCCCUGAGCAGUCAAGUAGAAACACGACAUUGGCAGCAUUGGUAACAGAAUAACCGGGAAUUGCUUCAAGAUCUGAGCUGUUAUUGCCCUCUGCUGACCGUUUGCUAUAUAGUGCCAGCACUUUAUUUUCCGCUAAGGUGCAAAGAUUUCCGAGAAUCUGUAGUAAACUGAAGGAGCCUCUCUUGGACAGCGAAUUAUUAUUAUUAUUAUUUGUUUCAUAUUUGGCUUCUCACUGUUGUAACUGGGUACAUAUCACUCAGUCCUCAUCACAGGUGAGUCCAAUCUGAGCAGUUGUGCCAUGGCCCUGGCUGCUCACAUAGCGACAACCAAUUU
Cygnus atratus (black swan) is the source of this 940-nucleotide long non-coding RNA. RefSeq lists it as uncharacterized. Lineage: Eukaryota; Metazoa; Chordata; Aves; Anseriformes; Anatidae. The record is from RefSeq and is a predicted model, not a curated record. The transcript has 3 exons.